Molecule: ribosomal RNA, 430 nt
Filed under: uncultured bacterium
Lineage: Bacteria
Description: bacterial SSU rRNA
Rfam family: Bacterial small subunit ribosomal RNA
Source: RNAcentral
UGGGGAAUAUUGCGCAAUGGGGGAAACCCUGACGCAGCGACGCCGUGUGAGUGAUGAAGGCUUUCGGGUCGUAAAGCUCUGUCGGAUGGGACGAAUAAGGACUGUGUGAAUAAUGCAGUCCGAUGACGGUACCGUCGAAGGAAGCACCGGCUAACUCCGUGCCAGCAGCCGCGGUAAUACGGAGGGUGCAAGCGUUGUUCGGAAUUAUUGGGCGUAAAGGGCGCGUAGGCGGUUUUUUAAGUCAGAUGUGUAAUCCCCGAGCUCAACUUGGGAACUGCAUCUGAGACUGGAAGGCUAGAGUACUGGAGAGGGUGGUGGAAUUCCUCGUGUAGCGGUGAAAUUCGUAGAUAUCAGGAGGAACACCGGUGGCGAAGGCGACUUCCUGGCCCUAUACUGACGCUGAGACGCGAGAGCGUGGGGAGCAAACAGG